GGUGAGAGUGGCGAACGGGUGAGUAAUGCGUGACCAACCUGCCCCAUGCUCCAGAAUAGCUCUUGGAAACGGGUGGUAAUGCUGGAUGCUCCAACUUGACGCAUGUCUUGUUGGGAAAGUGUUUAGUGGCAUGGGAUGGGGUCGCGUCCUAUCAGCUUGUAGGCGGGGUAAUGGCCCACCUAGGCUUCGACGGGUAGCCGGCCUGAGAGGGCGGACGGCCACAUUGGGACUGAGAUACGGCCCAGACUCC
RNAcentral lists this ribosomal RNA (250 nucleotides) under uncultured Gardnerella sp. RNAcentral's name for it is "partial 16S ribosomal RNA". It matches the Rfam family "Bacterial small subunit ribosomal RNA", at positions 88 to 339 of the family's 1533-position model. The record is from RNAcentral. Lineage: Bacteria; Bacillati; Actinomycetota; Actinomycetes; Bifidobacteriales; Bifidobacteriaceae.